AAUUUAAUUUAAACGACACACAUGUUCCGACACAAUGGUCUGGGUGCCUGCACUGAGAGGUUUCUUUGCUGGGUUGAUUAUUGGGGAAUGUGGAGGCUUAAC
RNAcentral lists this small RNA (102 nucleotides) under marine eukaryotic metagenome. Its description in RNAcentral is "t44 RNA". It matches the Rfam family "t44 RNA". Rfam says of the family: This family consists of a number of bacterial RNA genes of between 135 and 170 bases in length. The t44 gene is found between the map and rpsB genes in all species in the full alignment apart from Shigella flexneri. The record is from RNAcentral.